GACCUGUAUAUUAGAAAAGGAAGCCAUAUUUUUAAAUUGGAUUUUAGAAUUAUUAUUUAAUACAUUUAUAUUCCGCCAUUCCAUCAAAUAACCCUUAAAGAGGCUAAAAGUCAUUUUAAAACAUCAGCUUAAAACAAUCCAUAAGUACAUAAUACAACCAAAAUAGAAUAAACAGCAAAUCGGCAGAUAAAUCAUCCAAACAGUUUAAUCAAGUUUUGGCUGCCACAGAUUGUGAGCAGCAAAACUGGACCUUUCUGAGAUAAUUCUAUGGUGUAGGUACUACCAUCAGAAAAACCCUGUCAUAUACUGCCCCCAACCACAGAAAUAGUCGUAAGCAGGUUCAGAUGGAAUGAGGCAACUCUAUAUAAGCAUAUGUAUGAAACACCUUGUUUCCAAGACACAGAACUAAACAGAAAGGUUUAGUUGAAACAUAGGCGAUGAGAUUAGGAGAGGGCAAGGAAUAGAAGGAAAGGAAUAAGAAGCGUAUUUAGUGUGAGUGAGUGAAUGAGUCAGUGCAAAGAAGAACCUUUUAGAACUAAGAAUGAGGAUACAAUGGUUGGUUGGCACUAGCAGCUAAAGCAGCCUUUUGCUUAAUUACCAUAGUUCUAAAUAUGUGUAAAAAGAAGCAAUAUUUAACUGCCACAGAUUAGACAAGUGGCAACUUGCAAGUUUGACAAGGCAUCAGGAACGCUCCAACUAUAGAGCAUAAUUGAUAGCAUAACAAAAGCAGCCAUAAGCAAGCCAUGAGAACAUCUUGUUGACAAAACAGUCUCCUAUAGCUCAUUAAAAGGCUAUAUGGAAAAGUUUUAUUUCUUUCAUAUUAAAAUGUGGCUAGUAGUGGGUCUUAUGUCUGAAAGGCUGAACACUACUGCUCCUAAAUACUGAUCCUCUUAUUGCCAAAGUGAAAUAUCAGAAGUUGGAAUGGGCCAAAUUAGAAGUCUCAUAGUUAGGUAGAAUAGUGGAAAUUAAGAUGUGUGUUUUAUCAAAAUUUCUGUUUCUGAAUACAGUACAAUGUAUCAUAAAAUACACUGUACUGUAUUUGUCCAGAACUAUAAACAGUGAAGGACAGAAACAGUAUUGCAACAGGAAAGAAAGGUAGUUAGCCCUCCCAAAUAUAACCUGUAAAAUGUGGUUUCAUGAAUCCCCUAUGACUUUAAAGCCUUUAAGUCUCCCCUCACACCAUAGAGAAUAAUCUCUAUAAUAUACUAAGGAAGUACGUGGCAAGCCCCGACCACACAGUGUUUUACCAAUCAGAGGUAACAGAACAGAAUCACUGUGGUGAUUGGGCAGUGGGGAUUCCAUAUGCAGAUAGGGAGGAAGAGCUUGUGAUGGUUAAGGUCAGUUACUGGUCAGAAGAUGUGCUUGACUACAAAAAGUGGGGUCAUGAGGGAAGAAAGAGCCCCUUCAGGAGAAGGAGGCUGCCACUGUUGAGAAUUAGAUGAGGGAACAAGAUUUGUUAACUCAGGAAGGGAGAGAAAGAAAGAAAAAAGAAGGGAGGGGAAGAAAGAAGGGGGGGGGAGCGAGUAGAGGAGAAAGAAACAGAGAAAAAGAAAGAGCCUGUCAGUGGCCUGAGGGGAAUAAGCAGACAUGGCAGUGGUGGCAUCAAGGAAGGGCCCAGUCAACUGCUGCUGCUCCUCUUGCGGGGAGGAGCAGAAGCAGGGCUUGGAUGAGGGUGGGGAGGUCUCUGGAGGCUGCGGUUUGGCCAAUUGGUGCCAGCAACACAAAAACCAUGACCAAGAGGGGUAAGGAAGCAACAGGAUGGAGAACUGCAGGAUCGUGGCUCAAGUGAGGUGGAGAGAUGUCUGAGGCUGCAGAAGAGGGUGAAGCAAACAACAAAGCCCCUCCACUGGCCUGAGGAAGACCAACUGUCACCUAGCCCCUCACCGCUGUGAAGAUCCAAGUCCUCCUCUACUGUCAUAACUAUCAGUCUGUAGCAGAGGGUGAAGGAGAGCAGUAAGGACCCUCCAUGGGUCUGAGGAGGACAAAGUACCUUCUGGACCACCCCCUCUGACAACUCCUCCCCCCCCCCGCACAUUUUUUUCUCUUAAAUAAAAAAAGAUCGUGAUCCCCUU
Hemicordylus capensis (graceful crag lizard) is the source of this 2072-nucleotide RNA transcript. It is a transcript of the gene named translation initiation factor IF-2-like, with no coding region annotated. The transcript is spliced from 2 exons. NCBI's taxonomy places the organism in Eukaryota, Metazoa, Chordata, Lepidosauria, Squamata, Cordylidae. The record is from RefSeq and is a predicted model, not a curated record.